GGGGGUUUAGCUCAGCGGUAGAGCGUUUGCUUCGCAAGUAAAAGGUCACGGGUUCAAUCCCCGUAGUCUCCA
This is a transfer RNA of Edhazardia aedis, 72 nucleotides long. It matches the Rfam family "tRNA". Rfam says of the family: Transfer RNA (tRNA) molecules are approximately 80 nucleotides in length. Their secondary structure includes four short double-helical elements and three loops (D, anti-codon, and T loops). Further hydrogen bonds mediate the characteristic L-shaped molecular structure. tRNAs have two regions of fundamental functional importance: the anti-codon, which is responsible for specific mRNA codon recognition, and the 3' end, to which the tRNAs corresponding amino acid is attached (by aminoacyl-tRNA synthetases). tRNAs cope with the degeneracy of the genetic code in two manners: having more than one tRNA (with a specific anti-codon) for a particular amino acid; and 'wobble' base-pairing, i.e. permitting non-standard base-pairing at the 3rd anti-codon position. NCBI's taxonomy places the organism in Eukaryota, Fungi, Microsporidia, Culicosporidae. The record is from Rfam.